CACCGCGGUUAUACGAGAGGCCCAAGCUGAUAGCCACCGGCGUAAAGAGUGGUUAGGAAAAAUUAAAACUAAAGCCGAAUACCUUUGAUGCUGUUAUACGCGUUCAAACAUAAGAAGCCCUGUCACGAAAGUAGCUUUACAAAAUCUGAAUCCACGAAAGCCAGGGAA
RNAcentral lists this ribosomal RNA (168 nucleotides) under Acanthocepola indica. RNAcentral describes it as "partial 12S ribosomal RNA". Lineage: Eukaryota; Metazoa; Chordata; Actinopteri; Priacanthiformes; Cepolidae (in: ray-finned fishes). The record is from RNAcentral.